RNAcentral lists this ribosomal RNA (253 nucleotides) under uncultured bacterium. Its description in RNAcentral is "partial 16S ribosomal RNA". It matches the Rfam family "Bacterial small subunit ribosomal RNA", at positions 524 to 776 of the family's 1533-position model. The record is from RNAcentral.
UACGUAGGUGGCAAGAGUUGUCCGGAAUUAUUGGGCGUAAAGCGCGCGCAGGCGGUGCGGUAAGUGACUUGUGAAAAUGCCCGGCUAAACUGGGCGAGGUCAGGUCAGACUGCCGUGCUAGAGGGUGGUAGAGGAGCGCGGAAUUCGGGGUGUAGCGGUGAAAUGUGUAGAGAUCCCGAUGAACACCAGUGGCGCAAGCGGGGCUCGGGGCCACUAGUGACUCGGGGGCGCGAAAGCUUGGGGAGCGAACGGG